UACGUAGGGGGCAAGCGUUGUCCGGAUUUAUUGGGCGUAAAGAGCGUGUAGGCGGCUUUACAGGUCCGUUGUGAAAACUCGAGGCUCAACCUCGAGACGCCGGUGGAAACCGUAAGGCUAGAGUCCGGAAGAGGAGAGUGGAAUUCCUGGUGUAGCGGUGAAAUGCGCAGAUAUCAGGAAGAACACCCGUGGCUAAGGCGGCUCUCUAGUACGGUACUGACGCUGAGACGCGAAAGCCAGGGGAGCAAACGGG
RNAcentral lists this ribosomal RNA (253 nucleotides) under uncultured bacterium. RNAcentral's name for it is "partial 16S ribosomal RNA". It matches the Rfam family "Bacterial small subunit ribosomal RNA", at positions 524 to 776 of the family's 1533-position model. The record is from RNAcentral.